Molecule: non-coding RNA, 29 nt
Filed under: Mus musculus (house mouse)
Lineage: Eukaryota; Metazoa; Chordata; Mammalia; Rodentia; Muridae
Source: RNAcentral
ACAAAAACCAUGCAACGCUCUUCAGCCUG